This 468-nucleotide ribosomal RNA is filed under the name uncultured bacterium. RNAcentral's name for it is "partial 16S ribosomal RNA". It matches the Rfam family "Bacterial small subunit ribosomal RNA", at positions 28 to 507 of the family's 1533-position model. The record is from RNAcentral.
GACGAACGCUGGCGGCGUGCUUAACACAUGCAAGUCGAACGGAAAGGCCCUGCUUUUGUGGGGUGCUCGAGUGGCGAACGGGUGAGUAGCACGUGAGUAACCUGCCCUUGACUUUGGGAUAACUUCAGGAAACUGGGGCUAAUACCGGAUAGGAGCUCCUGCUGCGUGGUGGGGGUUGGAAAGUUUCGGCGGUUGGGGCUGGACUCGCGGCUUAUCAGCUUGUUGGUGGGGUAGUGGCUUACCAAGGCUUUGACGGGUAGCCGGCCUGAGAGGGUGACCGGCCACAUUGGGACUGAGAUACGGCGCAGACGCCUACGGGAGGCAGCAGUGGAGAAUAUUGCACAAUGGGCGGAAGCCUGAUGCAGCAACGCCGCGUGCGGGAUGACGGCCUUCGGGUUGUAAACCGCUUUCGCCUGUGACGAAGCGUGAGUGACGGUAAUGGGUAAAGAAGCACCGGCUAACUACGUG